AAUCAACGCUGGCGGCGUGCCUAACACAUGCAAGUCGAACGCGAAAGGGGACUUCGGUUCCUGAGUAGAGUGGCGUACGGGUGAGUAACGCGUGGGUCAUCUGCCCUCGGGUGGGGAAUAACUAAUCGAAAGGUUAGCUAAUACCGCAUAACACAGUGAUGUCAAAGCAGCAAUGUGCCUGAGGAGGAGCCUGCGUCUGAUUAGGUAGUUGGUGGGGUAACGGCCUACCAAGCCUGCGAUCAGUAGCUGGUCUGAGAGGACGACCAGCCACACUGGGACUGAGACACGGCCCAGACUCCUACGGGAGGCAGCAGUGGGGAAUUUUGGACAAUGGGGGUAACCCUGAUCCAGCCAUGCCGCGUGCGGGAAG
This 370-nucleotide ribosomal RNA is filed under the name uncultured bacterium. RNAcentral's name for it is "bacterial SSU rRNA". It matches the Rfam family "Bacterial small subunit ribosomal RNA", at positions 32 to 410 of the family's 1533-position model. The record is from RNAcentral.